This 115-nucleotide non-coding RNA is filed under the name Sarcophilus harrisii (Tasmanian devil). RNAcentral's name for it is "Bacterial large subunit ribosomal RNA". It matches the Rfam family "Bacterial large subunit ribosomal RNA", at positions 715 to 851 of the family's 2925-position model. The record is from Rfam by way of RNAcentral. Lineage: Eukaryota; Metazoa; Chordata; Mammalia; Dasyuromorphia; Dasyuridae.
CCAAAAUUAAGUGAGCUAUUGUAGAACAGUUGUCAGAACGACCUCGUCUAUAUGGCAAAAUAGUGAGAUGAUUUUACAAUAGGGGUGAAAAGCCUAUCAAACUAAAUGAUAGCUG